This 246-nucleotide ribosomal RNA is filed under the name uncultured bacterium. Its description in RNAcentral is "partial 16S ribosomal RNA". It matches the Rfam family "Bacterial small subunit ribosomal RNA", at positions 796 to 1041 of the family's 1533-position model. The record is from RNAcentral. RNAcentral also lists the same sequence under 1 other name.
CAUGCCGUAAACGAUGUCUACUAGCCGUUGGGGCCUUUGAGGCUUUAGUGGCGCAGCUAACGCGAUAAGUAGACCGCCUGGGGAGUACGGUCGCAAGACUAAAACUCAAAUGAAUUGACGGGGGCCCGCACAAGCGGUGGAGCAUGUGGUUUAAUUCGAUGCAACGCGAAGAACCUUACCUGGUCUUGACAUAGUAAGAACUUUCCAGAGAUGGAUUGGUGCCUUCGGGAACUUACAUACAGGUGC